UCUUCUUUUCUCUUAUUUUCUUCUGUUCUUCAUUUCUUCCUCUCUGUCGAUCUCAGUUCAGAAGAACUGAGUUGUUUGUGUGUGAGUUUUUGAUAGAAUGUUAGGUAGCUUGAUGAAUCAAAGAAGAUGAAGUUAGAAAUGAGGUUGUUUGAGUUCCAGGAGAAGAAAAAAGUGAUGUUGAUGUUGAAUUGAAGCUAGGGUUUCUAGUAAUUUUAAUUCAAGUUGAUUUCGUGAUGGUUAAGGAAGGAUUGAGAACUGGGUUUAGUUGAUUGAGGUUUAAUUGAAGUUCCGAGGCUGUCCUGGUGAUGAAUCAAAUUCAAAACUCAACGGAAAAGUUACUCUUUAUUAAUAACGACCGAUUCAGAAGACGAACUACUGGAUUGUACAUCUCGAGGUAUGCGAGGCUUGUCAUCAAAAGAGUUUCAGAGACAGAUCAAGUUGUGCACGUGGC
Papaver somniferum (opium poppy) is the source of this 451-nucleotide long non-coding RNA. RefSeq lists it as uncharacterized. NCBI's taxonomy places the organism in Eukaryota, Viridiplantae, Streptophyta, Magnoliopsida, Ranunculales, Papaveraceae. The transcript is spliced from 3 exons. The record is from RefSeq and is a predicted model, not a curated record.